UCCGUAGGUGAAACCUGCGGAAGGAUCAUUA
This 31-nucleotide ribosomal RNA is filed under the name Pisolithus sp. PCMB9. RNAcentral's name for it is "partial 18S ribosomal RNA". Lineage: Eukaryota; Fungi; Basidiomycota; Agaricomycetes; Boletales; Pisolithaceae. The record is from RNAcentral.